AUGCUCUUUGCGGAUGAUGUGGUGCUAGUUGACGAUAGUCGGACGGGGGUAAAUAGGAAGUUAGAGUUAUGGAGACAAACCUUGGAAUCGAAAGGGUUUAGGCUUAGUAGAACUAAAACCGAGUACAUGAUGUGCGGUUUCAGUACUACUAGCUGUGAGGAGGAGGAGGAGGUUAGCCUUGAUGGCCAGGUGGUACCUCGGAAGGACACCUUUCGGUAUUUGGGGUCAAUGUUGCAGGAGGAUGGGGGUAUUGAUGAAGAUGUGAACCAUCGAAUCAAAGCCGGAUGGAUGAACUGGCGCCAAGCUUCUGGCAUUCUCUGUGACAAGAGAGUGCCACAAAAGCUAAAAGGCAAGUUCUACAGGACGGCGGUUCGACCCGCAAUGUUGUAUGGCGCGGAGUGUUGGCCGACUAAAAGGCGACAUGUUCAACAGUUAGGUGUGGCGGAGAUGCGUAUGUUGAGAUGGAUGUGUGGCCACACGAGGAAGGAUCGAGUCCGGAAUGAUGAUAUACGAGAUAGAGUUGGGGUAGCAAAAAUUGAGGAGAAGCUUGUCCAACAUCGUUUGAGAUGGUUUGGGCAUAUUCAGCGCAGGCCUCCAGAAGCUCCAGUGCAUAGCGGACGGCUAAAGCAUGCGGAGAAUGUCAAGAGAGGGUGGGGUCGACCGAUUUUGACAUGGGAGGAGUCCGUUAAGAGAGACAUGAAGGAUUGGAGUAUCGACAAAGAGCUAGCUAUGGACAGGGGUGCGUGGAAGCUUGCUAUCCAUGUGCCAGAGCCAUGA
RNAcentral lists this ribosomal RNA (777 nucleotides) under Triticum aestivum (bread wheat). RNAcentral's name for it is "partial small subunit ribosomal RNA". Lineage: Eukaryota; Viridiplantae; Streptophyta; Magnoliopsida; Poales; Poaceae. The record is from RNAcentral.